Fundulus heteroclitus (mummichog) is the source of this 1077-nucleotide long non-coding RNA. RefSeq lists it as uncharacterized. The transcript is spliced from 2 exons. The record is from RefSeq and is a predicted model, not a curated record. NCBI's taxonomy places the organism in Eukaryota, Metazoa, Chordata, Actinopteri, Cyprinodontiformes, Fundulidae.
GCCUCAAUGGCGCCACCUAGCAAUUUUCAAAGGACCCUUUGCUAUUCACUUAAUUCAUCAUAGAGACAUGAGAUUGGGUACAGUUGUAGAGCUCACCAAGAUGCUCAGAAUUUACAAUUAAUGCCAUAGUGCAAGUGUAACCCAUGUUAAAACCCGACAUAGGUAGGAUUAAACAAAGUUGAUUAAAAGUCUGUAGACAGAAAUAACGUCCCUGCCCCUUUAAGAAACCAGCGUCACAGACGUUGCAUCUGGGUGACGCUGCAGUGCACAGACUAGAGCGAGAGAGAGAGAGCAGAGGAGGAGUCGGAGGAAAAGAGCGGUGAUUAAUUAACAGAAAAAGUUAAUAUUAUAGUUGAAAAAACAUAAUUUACCUGGUCGGGAACGGACAGGGAUUUUAUGAGAACCAAAUUACAUCGGUUUUGGUCGGGUUUUUUUGUUCGGUUGGAAGCUCGGUCGGAGUGAAGAUUGGUCUGCGGUGUGCACGUUCACAGACGGGACUCUAGAUGGCGAGCCAGACCUAGACCUUCAAUUCAUCUUUUCCAUCGCAUCAAGGAGAGACUCUCUUGCGUGUGGUAAUUGCUGCCGGAGCGGUAGGAAUAUCAGGAACCAGUUCAAAUCGAAUUGAACAGAACUGAGAACUGUUUGAAUUAUUAUUUUGUUUUUGGACUGAAUCAACUGAGACUUUUUGUUGAACUGAACAUCUGAACUUGCAUUGAGACUUGAAUUUGAAUUUAAAGUGCCAUACUUUGAUUUUCAUAUGUUUGUGUCUCUGAAUGUGAUUUGAAAGAUUGUGGUCCGUUUUGAUUUACUUGUGUUUGAAGGUAUUUACCUACCUGAAAAAGAAUGGAUAACGAGUUAGGAAAAAAUAGAUUGGUCUAAUUAGAUUAGUCUUAUUAAAACAAACUAGGUAAACUAAAGAGUAAAAAGAAGAGUGGUAUACUUUUUUUUCCCCCUUCUCUCUUUUUCCCAUUUAUAUUUACCUCAUUAUUAAGAAUCUGCAGGGUAUUUUUAAGUUCAUGUGUUGUAUUUUAUGUGUGUGUUCUGCAUUCAGUAAACUGCCGGCCUUUUCCAUAGAAA